This 284-nucleotide long non-coding RNA is filed under the name Lactuca sativa (garden lettuce). RNAcentral's name for it is "long non-coding RNA (LSAT_LNC007457)". The record is from RNAcentral. Lineage: Eukaryota; Viridiplantae; Streptophyta; Magnoliopsida; Asterales; Asteraceae.
CGAUUCAAGAUGAAUACUCACAAAAUCGAAAUGCAAAAUUGAUUCAUAUUCUUGUUCUUCACUCGUUUCCAGUUAUUGUAUUCUCGAUUGAUCUUUGAUAGCGAAUGAGAUUCAUCAUUUUUNUUUGAUAGCGAAUGAGAUUUCAUCAUUUUUUUUUCGAUGAGUUUACCUUUUACUUUUGAAUCGACUUUAAUUGAUUUCAUCAUCAUCGGUCGAUUAUGAUCAAGUUGUAGGUUAGAAAAGUAUCGAUUUGUAUAUAUCGAGGGAUAAAUUCAUCAAGUCAA